UAAGGAAUAUUGGACAAUGGAGGCAACUCUGAUCCAGCCAUGCCGCGUGAAGGAAUAAGGCCCUAUGGGUUGUAAACUUCUUUUAGACGGGACAAAACCCCUUUACGUGUAAAGGGUUGAUGGUACUGUCAGAAUAAGCAUCGGCUAACUUCGUGCCAGCAGCCGCGGUAAUACGAAGGAUGCAAGCGUUAUCCGGAAUUAUUGGGUUUAAAGGGUGCGUAGGCGGACUAAUAAGUCAGUGGUGAAAGCCUGCAGCUUAACUGCAGAAUUGCCAUUGAUACUGUUAGUCUUAAGUACAGUUGAGGUAGGCGGAAUGUGUCAUGUAGCGGUGAAAUGCUUAGAUAUGACACAGAACACCGAUUGCGAAGGCAGCUUGCUAAGCUGUAACUGACGCUGAGGCACGAAAGCGUGGGGAGCAAACA
RNAcentral lists this ribosomal RNA (422 nucleotides) under uncultured bacterium. Its description in RNAcentral is "bacterial SSU rRNA". It matches the Rfam family "Bacterial small subunit ribosomal RNA", at positions 355 to 774 of the family's 1533-position model. The record is from RNAcentral.